Epinephelus fuscoguttatus (brown-marbled grouper) is the source of this 744-nucleotide long non-coding RNA. RefSeq lists it as uncharacterized. Lineage: Eukaryota; Metazoa; Chordata; Actinopteri; Perciformes; Serranidae. The transcript has 3 exons. The record is from RefSeq and is a predicted model, not a curated record.
CCAGAUGUAGACUACAAUGGAGUGGUGUAUGGUAACGACUGGUGGGUGGGCUCUGUGGUGCGGUACACGUGUCGCUCUGGCUUCAUUCUGGUGGGAAGCCCAACCAGAACAUGCCAGCCUAAUGGCCUCUGGACCCCGAAACCUACCUGCCUCAGAAUGUGUCAGCGGGGACGCAUUGAAGUCAGCGAGAGGGAACUUAAUGGGACGUGUAACUCCACCUGCGCAUACAAGAGCUACUUUGGCCCACCCAAACAAGGCUGCACUCGGAUAGACAACUGUAAGAAGAAGGAGACUGGCUGGAAGCGGUUCUUUGCACAGUGUGUCCCUUGCAUUUGUGACUGCGCUUUAUCAUGUGCAUCUACAGGAUAAACUAUGGAGAAAACACUAUGUUGACUGUACAGUGAGACAUCAGAUGAAGACGAAAUACACAGACAGCUUGCACGCCGCAGAGCCACGCUAUGUUUUCGCUGCUUCAUCCCAUUGUGUGGACAAAUCAGCCGACCGAAAUCUGGAUGUUUUAAGACAUUAAUGUAAUCUCUCUGGCACAGCACACUAAAGCCAACAAUUUCUCCUUGGAUUUUAUAUACAUACAAGAUUUUACACUAUGACAAGAAGAUUUCAGUGCCUCAGGUUCAAAUCCCUCUGUGAGUCAGUGGUGAAUUAUAAGCAAAGCUUAGUCAAUCUGUGUGAUGUAGGGUGGUGAAAGGGUCAGCGAAGGAAAGUGAAGUGAAUUUUAAAACAGUC